RNAcentral lists this transfer RNA (56 nucleotides) under Cavia porcellus (domestic guinea pig). It matches the Rfam family "tRNA", at positions 9 to 63 of the family's 71-position model. Rfam says of the family: Transfer RNA (tRNA) molecules are approximately 80 nucleotides in length. Their secondary structure includes four short double-helical elements and three loops (D, anti-codon, and T loops). The record is from Rfam by way of RNAcentral. Lineage: Eukaryota; Metazoa; Chordata; Mammalia; Rodentia; Caviidae.
AGCUGAGUGUCACAGCACCUGCUUGGCAAGCAUGAAGUCCUGAGUUCAAUUCCCAG